UUGAACGCUGGCGGCAUGCUUUACACAUGCAAGUCGAACGCGAAAGGGGGCAACCCCGAGUAGAGUGGCGAACGGGUGAGUAAUGCAUCGGAACGUGUCCUGUUGUGGGGGACAACCCCGAGAAAUCGGGGCUAAUACCGCAUACGUCCUAUGGGAGAAAGUGGGGGACCGCAAGGCCUCACGCUAUAGGGGCGGCCGAUGCCGGAUUAGCUAGUUGGUGGGGUAAAGGCUCACCAAGGCGACGAUCCGUAGCUGGUCUGAGAGGAUGAUCAGCCACACUGGGACUGAGACACGGCCCAGCCUCCUACGGGAGGCAGCAGUGGGGAAUUUUGGACAAUGGGCGAAAGCCUGAUCCAGCCAUGCCGCGUGAGUGAAGAAGGCCUUCGGGUUGUAAAGCUCUUUCGGCCGGGACGAAAUCGCCCUCCGUAACAUGGAGGGUGGAUGACGGUACCGGAAGAAGAAGGACCGGCUAACUACGU
This 479-nucleotide ribosomal RNA is filed under the name uncultured bacterium. Its description in RNAcentral is "bacterial SSU rRNA". It matches the Rfam family "Bacterial small subunit ribosomal RNA", at positions 29 to 506 of the family's 1533-position model. The record is from RNAcentral.